Molecule: long non-coding RNA, 2304 nt
Organism: Marmota monax (woodchuck)
Lineage: Eukaryota; Metazoa; Chordata; Mammalia; Rodentia; Sciuridae
Exons: 2
Source: RefSeq, a predicted model, not a curated record
UGGAGGGGAUGGGGGGGGAGGCCGGGAGCCUGGAACCCACCCUGGAUUCGAGUCUCGCCUGGCUGCUUCCCCCACUUAAGCCUCUGCCACUCGGUUCUCUGCCAUCCCCUCUCGGCGGCCCAGCGGAGCGCCGGCGGCUGGCGUCACUUGUCCCCCCAGCUGUUCUGGGGAAACUGAGGCUCACGCAGCCUGGCCACUGGCCAGGACGCAGCUGGGGGCAAACGUUUAUUUGGGCGGUUUUGCAGGGAUUUGUCUGCGCACUGGAAAGCAAACCCCAAACCCACGUACCCGCCCCCACGUUCCUCCAGUCCCCGGAGCUGGGGGAACAUGAGGCGGCGGAGGGGACCAGGUGGCCUGCAGCCCGGGCUUGAGUACCAGUCAAGCUGGGCCCCUCCUGGUGCCUCGGGCUCCCCUCUGCGUGGCGCGCACGACAGCGCUGGAGGACACACUCCCCCGACUCUCGCUGUGGGUCUCCGGCGCCGCGUGGGUUGCGGCCCCGAGGCCCAAACGUCCGCGUCUUCGCCGAGCCCUGACGUCGCGCUGACGCCACCAGCCCCCCUCCCCGCGGGGUCCGGCAGCCCAGAGUGGUUAACUCUUCCGCUGCCACACGAGACCCCCAGGGUCCUUUCUCCCUCCACCCGCUCCCUGCCCGGAGAGGGUCCGGGCUGGGCCCCGACGUCGGAGUGUCCUGGGCGGACCUGGUAGACAGGCCCUUAGCCCGGGCUGUUCCCUUCGCCUGGAAUGCGGCUCCAGUCCCAGGUCAAGCCCGUGUUUACUGUGACUUCGCUCCCUCCCGCCGGGCCCUGACCCCUCCGAGGCUGGGCGUGACCGCGUCUGGCUGGAUCUCCCGGGCCCGGGGUGGGUCCUCCCCUCAGCCACUUGCUGUUUCAAGUUUCCUUCUAUUUAUGGCAAGAGAAAACGAUUUUCCAUUCCUGGCGGUGACACGAAGAUCCCCUUUUGAAAUAUAUUGAAAUAGAAACAGAAAAGGGGGUAGAGAGUGACAUGGACCUAAAGGGUGCUCCUUGGCUAUGAUUACUUCCUGUAACUCCCCGCUCAGCUCUAGGAGGGCUGGGGGCUGAAGAGCUGGGCCCAGCAUGCCCAGCACAGGCGCACCAGGGACUGUCCAAUGAGCCAACCAUGAUGCCCCCAACCCAAAUCCAACUGACUCCUCAAGGUGAUCUAGUAACAGUGGAUUCCUGAUCUUCUGACCAACACCUACACACACCUGCUGGACCCCAACAUCUGAACCUGUGAAAGGACCUAACCCCACUGGUGCAUACAGCAAGUGCACAUUCAGUGCACGCUGGGGGAACGCAGGCACUGCUCCUAGGAGCUCUUUCCUCCAGGUGCUAGAGACCUAAGGCUGGAGUCCUUCAGUCCCUUCACAAACACUGAUCUGCGCCACUCCUUGAAGCCUUUGAGGAGGCUGGGGACACCACAGUCUCAGGGACAACUGGACUCUGUUGUCAUCAAAGCGGGAUGUGUCAGGUCCAAUCAAUGUCCAAGGGCCUGCUGCGCCCGCUGCCUUAUUGUAAUAUGGUCUUCCGAGGCUGAAGGAGCCGGUGCCACCCAAAGGGCAGAAGCUGGGUCCCCUCCAUAGGGCUAGUCAAACACCUGCACAGGGACGGACAGGACGGCGGUUGCGGCUCCAGGGGAGGGCGGAAGUGGGGCGGUGGCGAGGGGGGAGCCGCAGCCCUCCGCGGUAACCUGAUCCUCAGGAAUGCGCCGAGGCCAGACGCGCCCCCAGCCCCAGGCCGCGGCCCCUCCCCCAGCCACCCCACGGGAUCCUGCCACCUGGGGGACUGUUCUCCGCCCCCAAGCCCUGCCCCCACUAGCCAGUUUGUUUUCAGUGCAGAGUUACCCUGUCCCGGCCCUGCAGGGUCCUGAGCUCUGGGGGACCAUCCCCAGCAAGCCCCGCCCCCAGGAGGCCCCCUUGCCUCAUCCCCCUUCUGCUCCUCUAACUCCUAUUCUUUCCUCUCCCGGGGAUUUUCCGUUUUAUCAAGUUGAUGGUAGGUCUCUGGGUGUUGAGUAAAGACUGAAAAUUCAGCCCAGUGGCAGAUCACUCUAAACCAGAAGGUCAGUGUCUUAGUACUGGGCGGCGCAGAGGUCAGAACCUGGGCUGGCGAGACAGAAGGGGGAGGGCACAUCAGAUUCAGUGUCUGGAAGGCCAGGUCCCUCUCCAGCCCUGGCUGGGGGAGCCCAGGCAGGUCAGGUCGCCAGUCCUCCGCAGACAACUGCUCUGGGAAAUCCGAUUAAAAUCUCUCACAACUUGCUGGGAAGAUAAAAGUAAAAAUAUGGACUCCA